CAAAAUUUAUUAGAAGGAGAAAUACUUAUUCAGCAUUAUUUAAGUAUACUUCUAUAUUUUAUUUUGUCUUCCAGAUAUCACAUAUUUUAUAGAACUGAUCUAAGCCAUUGAGAAGACUUAAAAGUCCCAUGGACAUGAGCUUUUGUCUUUACAUUCCUUUUCUUGCUUUUGGAACAUACAUCCAUACUGAAGGUAUGAAAAAAGAAAUAUAUGCUUGUUACCUGUCUGAGGUUGAUGCCUCUGGUUCCAGCAUAAGGGCUUUCUUUGAGUGGUUUGCCAGUAAGACUAUGUUACCUGGACUUUCCAGAUAUAGAUUUCUGUUUGGCUGAGGGAUGGAUCCUCAUGCUCUUCUUGUCUCAGAAGGUUUCCCAAUUCCAACAAAGUAGAUUAUUUGCUACUUUCUAUUUUCCCUACACAAAAUCAUCAUGGAUAUCCAAAAUUGAUGCAGACAUGUAGCUGAGCAAUUACUAUUCUUUAUCAGUAAUCAAGAUCUGACAUUAAUAAUUAGGUACAUUUAAUUUAUGCGGCUACCCUAAUAUUUAACAAAACUUUUAAAGUAUGUUCAGUAAACAAAAAGCUAAAUUAGAAAAAGAACAAUGAUGAAUUGAUAUAAUACUUCAACAAUCAAGAGUUGUACACAGAUAGUUCUGUGAAGCACCAUAGAAUAAUUGGAAUUUAAAGUGACUAAUGUAGCUAAAUAGAUACGCAUUUGAUAUUGCUUUUGAAAAGGAAAGUAAAAGUUAUGGUCUGAAAAAUAUAAUUCUGGAAUACAAGAAUACAAGAAUUUGAAUUAAAUACUUAUGUCAAUAAUUUUGCUUCUAUAAAUGAAUGUUAUGUGUGAAUGAAAAAAUAUAUAAAAGACUUCAGAUAAAAAUAAAAUAUAUAAUACCUAAUAUUAUAUUUACAAAUAAUUAAAAAUAGUUUAUUGCAUUGUAUGGUAUAAAUGAAUUUUUGUUUUAGGCAAGUUUAUUCAAAUUGAUUCUGGUCAAGUUGCUUGUUUUAUGGGACACUAAUUUAAGUAUCUCAAAGCAUUAAGUACCUUAGAAUAUUCAUUUCUGACUGGGCACGGUGGCUCAUGCCUGUAAUCCCAGCACUUUGGGAGACUGAGGCGGGCAGAUCACGAGGUCAGGAGAUCAAGACCACAGUGAAACCCUGUCUCUACUAAAAAUACAAAAAAUUAGUGGGGCGUUGUGGUGGGCACCUGUGGUCCCGGCUACUCGGGAGGCUGAGGUAGAACGGCUUGAACCCGGGAGGCGGAUCUUGUAGUGAGAGGAGAUCGUGCCACUCCACUCCAGCCUGGGCGAUAGAUAGAGACUGUCUCAAAAA
Molecule: long non-coding RNA, 1326 nt
Filed under: Rhinopithecus bieti (black snub-nosed monkey)
Lineage: Eukaryota; Metazoa; Chordata; Mammalia; Primates; Cercopithecidae
Description: lncRNA (ENSRBIG00000045853.1)
Source: RNAcentral